RNAcentral lists this ribosomal RNA (1340 nucleotides) under 'Waltheria indica' virescence phytoplasma. Its description in RNAcentral is "bacterial SSU rRNA". It matches the Rfam family "Bacterial small subunit ribosomal RNA", at positions 104 to 1443 of the family's 1533-position model. Lineage: Bacteria; Bacillati; Mycoplasmatota; Mollicutes; Acholeplasmatales; Acholeplasmataceae. The record is from RNAcentral.
GGGUGAGUAACGCGUAAGCAAUCUGCCCCUAAGACGAGGAUAACAGUUGGAAACGACUGCUAAGACUGGAUAGGAGACAAGAAGGCAUCUUCUUGUUUUUAAAAGACCUAGCAAUAGGUAUGCUUAGGGAGGAGCUUGCGUCACAUUAGUUAGUUGGUGGGGUAAAGGCCUACCAAGACUAUGAUGUGUAGCCGGGCUGAGAGGUUGAACGGCCACAUUGGGACUGAGACACGGCCCAAACUCCUACGGGAGGCAGCAGUAGGGAAUUUUCGGCAAUGGAGGAAACUCUGACCGAGCAACGCCGCGUGAACGAUGAAGUAUUUCGGUACGUAAAGUUCUUUUAUUAGGGAAGAAUAAAUGAUGGAAAAAUCAUUCUGACGGUACCUAAUGAAUAAGCCCCGGCUAACUAUGUGCCAGCAGCCGCGGUAAUACAUAGGGGGCAAGCGUUAUCCGGAAUUAUUGGGCGUAAAGGGUGCGUAGGCGGUUAAAUAAGUUUAUGGUCUAAGUGCAAUGCUCAACAUUGUGAUGCUAUAAAAACUGUUUAGCUAGAGUAAGAUAGAGGCAAGUGGAAUUCCAUGUGUAGUGGUAAAAUGCGUAAAUAUAUGGAGGAACACCAGUAGCGAAGGCGGCUUGCUGGGUCUUUACUGACGCUGAGGCACGAAAGCGUGGGGAGCAAACAGGAUUAGAUACCCUGGUAGUCCACGCCGUAAACGAUGAGUACUAAACGUUGGGUAAAACCAGUGUUGAAGUUAACACAUUAAGUACUCCGCCUGAGUAGUACGUACGCAAGUAUGAAACUUAAAGGAAUUGACGGGACUCCGCACAAGCGGUGGAUCAUGUUGUUUAAUUCGAAGGUACCCGAAAAACCUCACCAGGUCUUGACAUGCUUCUGCAAAGCUGUAGAAACACAGUGGAGGUUAUCAGUUGCACAGGUGGUGCAUGGUUGUCGUCAGCUCGUGUCGUGAGAUGUUGGGUUAAGUCCCGCAACGAGCGCAACCCUUAUUGUUAGUUACCAGCACGUAAUGGUGGGGACUUUAGCAAGACUGCCAGUGAUAAAUUGGAGGAAGGUGGGGACGACGUCAAAUCAUCAUGCCCCUUAUGACCUGGGCUACAAACGUGAUACAAUGGCUGUUACAAAGGGUAGCUGAAGCGCAAGUUUUUGGCGAAUCUCAAAAAAACAGUCUCAGUUCGGAUUGAAGUCUGCAACUCGACUUCAUGAAGUUGGAAUCGCUAGUAAUCGCGAAUCAGCAUGUCGCGGUGAAUACGUUCUCGGGGUUUGUACACACCGCCCGUCAAACCACGAAAGUUGGCUAAUACCCAAAGCCGGUGGCCUAACUCGC